UGCUUAUGAGUUCUCUUAUUUCAGUGCUUUGUGUCCAAGAUUUAAUAUUCGUUGUUUAGUGCCUUGCAGUGAUAUUUAAAGUUGAGCCACUUGCAAUAGUUGUUAUAGAAUGUUCAUAUGUUGUGUUAAUAUUUGAACCACUGUCCUAUAUUAUGGUCAGGUUGAGUGCUCACAGACAUGAGGCCUAAAUUAAUAUAUUGUUUUUUUCCCUAAUCCCUAUUCUGACAAGCCAGGUGUGGGUAGUUAGGUAGGUAAAUAAUUUUAUUUUUCCCAAAAGCCUGAAUAUUAUCGGAUGAUCCGGCAAGCCCGAAAAUCAGAAAUGAAUAAAAUAAUAUUUGGCUUAGUUUUGACAAUAAAAUUUUAUGAGUAGGGCCAUUUUUGCAGGGUCGGUCAGGAUUGGAGAAACAAACAAUAUUUUAUAUUAGGCAUGAUUUUUUUUUAUUAAUUGUUAUUGACUUUGAAC
This 463-nucleotide long non-coding RNA is filed under the name Mytilus galloprovincialis (Mediterranean mussel). The record is from RNAcentral. Lineage: Eukaryota; Metazoa; Mollusca; Bivalvia; Mytilida; Mytilidae.